UUAAAAUGAAAACACAUGACAAAAUCAUGACUAAAAAUAUAUAACAAGAAUAACAGAAAACUAAUGACAAAUCCAUGUUUUUAGUUCUCUGUUUGUCUGUCCACAGGUCCGAGUGGGACAAACAUCAUCAUUGGCUCAAUAGCGGGAGCGAUACUGCUGGCAGCUAUAGUAUUGGGAGGAACAGGCUGGGGCUUCAAAAAUAUCAGAAGAGGAAGAUCUGGAGGGGGAUAAACAUGUCAUCUGCUCUGCUGUGCUUCUGCACUGUGUUCUUUAAACUUUGAGGGAAACAGAAGAAACUACAGAUGUCUUCCACUCUCUCACCAAACUCCAGUGUCACGCUGUCCUGUCUUUCCGACUUCCUGUUACUGCCUGUCACCUGUUGCCUAGAAACACUCCAGUACAUCCCAUGGUAACAUUUUUUAAACUGAUUUCGAUUUUACUGAUGUUGGCUAUUUGUAAUGGGGUUUGGCUCUUUAAACCCAGCACAGAAACUGAAAAAAGUCAUCAUUUACUCACCCUAGUGCCGUUUCGAACC
This 535-nucleotide long non-coding RNA is filed under the name Sinocyclocheilus grahami. Its description in RNAcentral is "lncRNA (ENSSGRG00000048784.1)". The record is from RNAcentral. Lineage: Eukaryota; Metazoa; Chordata; Actinopteri; Cypriniformes; Cyprinidae.